CUUCAAUACGCCCUGAAUUUUCUGAACGGUGGCGUGGAGGGAACAGAAAGCGGGGGAACCAAUUCUGGGGCUUAUUUCUAAGUAAAUUAGAAAGGAAAAACUCUCAUUUCUAGCCCGUCAGCUAACCCCGUAGGCAUUGAGGGAGGACUA
Molecule: small RNA, 150 nt
Filed under: Synechocystis sp.
Lineage: Bacteria; Bacillati; Cyanobacteriota; Cyanophyceae; Synechococcales; Merismopediaceae
Description: c-di-AMP sequence
Rfam family: c-di-AMP riboswitch aptamer (ydaO/yuaA leader)
About the family: This family represents a conserved RNA structure found upstream of the ydaO and yuaA genes in Bacillus subtilis and related genes in other bacteria.
Source: RNAcentral